UGCAUGAAGAUAGGUGACUCAAAGACAUC
Molecule: non-coding RNA, 29 nt
Filed under: Mus musculus (house mouse)
Lineage: Eukaryota; Metazoa; Chordata; Mammalia; Rodentia; Muridae
Source: RNAcentral